UACGGAGGGUGCAAGCGUUAUCCGGAUUCACUGGGUUUAAAGGGUGCGUAGGUGGGCAGUUAAGUCAGUGGUGAAAUCUCCGGGCUUAACUUGGAAACUGCCGUUGAUACUAUCUGUCUUGAAUACCGUGGAGGUGAGCGGAAUAUGUCAUGUAGCGGUGAAAUGCUUAGAUAUGACAUAGAACACCAAUUGCGAAGGCAGCUCGCUACACGAAUAUUGACUCUGAGGCACGAAAGCGUGGGGAUCAAACAGG
RNAcentral lists this ribosomal RNA (253 nucleotides) under uncultured bacterium. Its description in RNAcentral is "partial 16S ribosomal RNA". It matches the Rfam family "Bacterial small subunit ribosomal RNA", at positions 524 to 776 of the family's 1533-position model. The record is from RNAcentral.